GGGUUGUGAGGUUAAGCGACUAAGCGUACACGGUGGAUGCCCUGGCAGUCAGAGGCGAUGAAGGACGUGCUAAUCUGCGAUAAGCGUCGGUAAGGUGAUAUGAACCGUUAUAACCGGCGAUUUCCGAAUGGGGAAACCCAGUGUGAUUCGUCACACUAUCAUUAACUGAAUCCAUAGGUUAAUGAGGCGAACCGGGGGAACUGAAACAUCUAAGUACCCCGAGGAAAAGAAAUCAACCGAGAUUCCCCCAGUAGCGGCGAGCGAACGGGGAGCAGCCCAGAGCCUGAAUCAGUGUGUGUGUUAGUGGAAGCGUCUGGAAAGGCGUGCGAUACAGGGUGACAGCCCCGUACACAAAAAUGCACAUACUGUGAGCUCGAUGAGUAGGGCGGGACACGUGGUAUCCUGUCUGAAUAUGGGGGGACCAUCCUCCAAGGCUAAAUACUCCUGACUGACCGAUAGUGAACCAGUACCGUGAGGGAAAGGCGAAAAGAACCCCGGCGAGGGGAGUGAAAAAGAACCUGAAACCGUGUACGUACAAGCAGUGGGAGCACGCUUAGGCGUGUGACUGCGUACCUUUUGUAUAAUGGGUCAGCGACUUAUAUUCUGUAGCAAGGUUAACCGAAUAGGGGAGCCGAAGGGAAACCGAGUCUUAACUGGGCGUUAAGUUGCAGGGUAUAGACCCGAAACCCGGUGAUCUAGCCAUGGGCAGGUUGAAGGUUGGGUAACACUAACUGGAGGACCGAACCGACUAAUGUUGAAAAAUUAGCGGAUGACUUGUGGCUGGGGGUGAAAGGCCAAUCAAACCGGGAGAUAGCUGGUUCUCCCCGAAAGCUAUUUAGGUAGCGCCUCGUGAAUUCAUCUCCGGGGGUAGAGCACUGUUUCGGCAAGGGGGUCAUCCCGACUUACCAACCCGAUGCAAACUGCGAAUACCGGAGAAUGUUAUCACGGGAGACACACGGCGGGUGCUAACGUCCGUCGUGAAGAGGGAAACAACCCAGACCGCCAGCUAAGGUCCCAAAGUCAUGGUUAAGUGGGAAACGAUGUGGGAAGGCCCAGACAGCCAGGAUGUUGGCUUAGAAGCAGCCAUCAUUUAAAGAAAGCGUAAUAGCUCACUGGUCGAGUCGGCCUGCGCGGAAGAUGUAACGGGGCUAAACCAUGCACCGAAGCUGCGGCAGCGACGCUUAUGCGUUGUUGGGUAGGGGAGCGUUCUGUAAGCCUGCGAAGGUGUGCUGUGAGGCAUGCUGGAGGUAUCAGAAGUGCGAAUGCUGACAUAAGUAACGAUAAAGCGGGUGAAAAGCCCGCUCGCCGGAAGACCAAGGGUUCCUGUCCAACGUUAAUCGGGGCAGGGUGAGUCGACCCCUAAGGCGAGGCCGAAAGGCGUAGUCGAUGGGAAACAGGUUAAUAUUCCUGUACUUGGUGUUACUGCGAAGGGGGGACGGAGAAGGCUAUGUUGGCCGGGCGACGGUUGUCCCGGUUUAAGCGUGUAGGCUGGUUUUCCAGGCAAAUCCGGAAAAUCAAGGCUGAGGCGUGAUGACGAGGCACUACGGUGCUGAAGCAACAAAUGCCCUGCUUCCAGGAAAAGCCUCUAAGCAUCAGGUAACAUCAAAUCGUACCCCAAACCGACACAGGUGGUCAGGUAGAGAAUACCAAGGCGCUUGAGAGAACUCGGGUGAAGGAACUAGGCAAAAUGGUGCCGUAACUUCGGGAGAAGGCACGCUGAUAUGUAGGUGAAGUCCCUCGCGGAUGGAGCUGAAAUCAGUCGAAGAUACCAGCUGGCUGCAACUGUUUAUUAAAAACACAGCACUGUGCAAACACGAAAGUGGACGUAUACGGUGUGACGCCUGCCCGGUGCCGGAAGGUUAAUUGAUGGGGUCAGCGCAAGCGAAGCUCUUGAUCGAAGCCCCGGUAAACGGCGGCCGUAACUAUAACGGUCCUAAGGUAGCGAAAUUCCUUGUCGGGUAAGUUCCGACCUGCACGAAUGGCGUAAUGAUGGCCAGGCUGUCUCCACCCGAGACUCAGUGAAAUUGAACUCGCUGUGAAGAUGCAGUGUACCCGCGGCAAGACGGAAAGACCCCGUGAACCUUUACUAUAGCUUGACACUGAACAUUGAGCCUUGAUGUGUAGGAUAGGUGGGAGGCUUUGAAGUGUGGACGCCAGUCUGCAUGGAGCCGACCUUGAAAUACCACCCUUUAAUGUUUGAUGUUCUAACGUUGACCCGUAAUCCGGGUUGCGGACAGUGUCUGGUGGGUAGUUUGACUGGGGCGGUCUCCUCCUAAAGAGUAACGGAGGAGCACGAAGGUUGGCUAAUCCUGGUCGGACAUCAGGAGGUUAGUGCAAUGGCAUAAGCCAGCUUGACUGCGAGCGUGACGGCGCGAGCAGGUGCGAAAGCAGGUCAUAGUGAUCCGGUGGUUCUGAAUGGAAGGGCCAUCGCUCAACGGAUAAAAGGUACUCCGGGGAUAACAGGCUGAUACCGCCCAAGAGUUCAUAUCGACGGCGGUGUUUGGCACCUCGAUGUCGGCUCAUCACAUCCUGGGGCUGAAGUAGGUCCCAAGGGUAUGGCUGUUCGCCAUUUAAAGUGGUACGCGAGCUGGGUUUAGAACGUCGUGAGACAGUUCGGUCCCUAUCUGCCGUGGGCGCUGGAGAACUGAGGGGGGCUGCUCCUAGUACGAGAGGACCGGAGUGGACGCAUCACUGGUGUUCGGGUUGUCAUGCCAAUGGCACUGCCCGGUAGCUAAAUGCGGAAGAGAUAAGUGCUGAAAGCAUCUAAGCACGAAACUUGCCCCGAGAUGAGUUCUCCCUGACUCCUUGAGAGUCCUGAAGGAACGUUGAAGACGACGACGUUGAUAGGCCGGAUGUGUAAGCGCAGCGAUGCGUUGAGCUAACCGGUACUAAUGAACCGUGAGGCUUAACCUUACAACGCCGAAGGUGUUU
This 2931-nucleotide ribosomal RNA is filed under the name Escherichia coli. Its description in RNAcentral is "23S ribosomal RNA". It matches the Rfam family "Bacterial large subunit ribosomal RNA". The record is from RNAcentral. Lineage: Bacteria; Pseudomonadati; Pseudomonadota; Gammaproteobacteria; Enterobacterales; Enterobacteriaceae.